GGGCAGUUAGCUCAGUUGGAUAGAGCGUUGACCUCCGGAGUCAAAGGCCGUGGGUUCGAUUCCCGCAUUGCCCA
This 74-nucleotide transfer RNA is filed under the name Desulfovibrio litoralis DSM 11393. It matches the Rfam family "tRNA". Rfam says of the family: Transfer RNA (tRNA) molecules are approximately 80 nucleotides in length. Their secondary structure includes four short double-helical elements and three loops (D, anti-codon, and T loops). The record is from Rfam by way of RNAcentral. Lineage: Bacteria; Pseudomonadati; Thermodesulfobacteriota; Desulfovibrionia; Desulfovibrionales; Desulfovibrionaceae.